Non-coding RNA from Microcebus murinus (gray mouse lemur), 425 nucleotides. The record is from RefSeq and is a predicted model, not a curated record. NCBI's taxonomy places the organism in Eukaryota, Metazoa, Chordata, Mammalia, Primates, Cheirogaleidae.
UGAGGCUCUUCAGCUUGGCUGGACGGCGCCUCAGGAAGUCUCGCUGUAGCUCCGUGAAGCAGGUGGAGAACUCGCCCUCUUUCCCCAGCAGCCUGAGUUUAACGAGGUUUCCUCGUGUGUUGGAACGAAGACGAAGUCGCUAUUAAUGUUAAGGCAGACCUAUGCGGCCCGAUUUUGGAACUAUGAAAUCCACAAGCUUCGCCAUCAGUGGAACCAGAAAGAGCCUCAAAUCUCCCCCGCCCCUGCUUGAGAAGGACGCCCUGUUGGGGAAAAACUCUCAGACUGUGGGAGAUUUCUGCCCAGAAAUAAGAAAAGGGAGAGAAAGAAGCUGUGUUACGGGCCACGGGCUGAGAGCCCGGUGGCUAAAAGCGCUCACCCAGGGCAUCGAAGGCAGGUAGCACGUCGAACUCCACCCCCUCCUGGAG